GAGCAGGCUGGAUGGUUGCGCGCCUGAAAGGGCGUGAGGAAAGUCCGGGCUCCACAGGGCAGGGCGCCGGGUAACACCCGGUGGAGGCGACUCCAAGGAAAGUGCAACAGAAAUAUACCGCGCCUUCUGGCGUAAGGGUGAAAAGGCGAGGCAAGAGCUCACCGGCGGUAGGGUAACUUACCGUGCAAUGUAAACCCCGUCUGGUGCAAGAUUGAUAUGGGGACAUUUAAUGGCGGCCCGUCAAGUCCUCUGUAAUCGCAUGAGCCAUGCGGUAACGUAUGGCCUAGAUAGAUGACCAUCAAGACAGAACCCGGCUUACAGGCCUGUCU
Molecule: RNase P RNA, 329 nt
Filed under: Christensenella timonensis
Lineage: Bacteria; Bacillati; Bacillota; Clostridia; Christensenellales; Christensenellaceae
Description: Bacterial RNase P class A
Rfam family: Bacterial RNase P class A
About the family: Ribonuclease P (RNase P) is a ubiquitous endoribonuclease, found in archaea, bacteria and eukarya as well as chloroplasts and mitochondria.
Source: RNAcentral